GACGAACGCUGGCGGCGUGCUUAACACAUGCAAGUCGAACGGAAAGGCCCUGCUUUUGUGGGGUGCUCGAGUGGCGAACGGGUGAGUAACACGUGAGUAACCUGCCCUUGACUUUGGGAUAACUUCAGGAAACUGGGGCUAAUACCGGAUAGGAGCUCCUGCUGCAUGGUGGGGGUUGGAAAGUUUCGGCGGUUGGGGAUGGACUCGCGGCUUAUCAGCUUGUUGGUGGGGUAGUGGCUUACCAAGGCUUUGACGGGUAGCCGGCCUGAGAGGGUGACCGGCCACAUUGGGACUGAGAUACGGCCCAGACUCCUACGGGAGGCAGCAGUGGGGAAUAUUGCACAAUGGGCGGAAGCCUGAUGCAGCAAAGCCGCGUGCGGGAUGACGGCCUUCGGGUUGUAAACCGCUUUCGCCUGUGACGAAGCGCGAGUGACGGUAAUGGGUAAAGAAGCACCGGCUAACUACGUG
Molecule: ribosomal RNA, 468 nt
Filed under: uncultured bacterium
Lineage: Bacteria
Description: partial 16S ribosomal RNA
Rfam family: Bacterial small subunit ribosomal RNA
Source: RNAcentral